Molecule: long non-coding RNA, 1374 nt
Organism: Sapajus apella (tufted capuchin)
Lineage: Eukaryota; Metazoa; Chordata; Mammalia; Primates; Cebidae
Exons: 2
Source: RefSeq, a predicted model, not a curated record
GCCCAGGGCUCGCGCGGGAAGGGCCAGGGUUCGGGGUUGUCUGCUCUGUCUCAGCCCCGCCCGCCUGCUGGCCCGCCACGAUCGCGCCGACUUCUGCCCCCAGGCGGCCUUAGUGCGGUGCCACCCAUAGUGGCCUAAGGCCUGGCCGCAGCGGUCGGUCCCGCCGCCCUCAGUGGAGGUCCGCACUAGCGGCCUCGCCGCCGCUCCCAGCCUGCGCGCUCCUUCGGUGCAGGCUGCGCUGAUUUCUGGCCUGCGGAAGCGGCGGGGUUACCUGCACCAAGCCUGAGUCUUCCAGAGACCCCAUCCAUAGCCGACAUGGUGCUGUCCCCGGGAGGCUGAAGGGGUCUUAAGAGGGCGCCCCGUCCCCGCCCACCUGCCCGCAAAGGCCGGCUGAGUCUGCAUGGCUCCUCCUAAACUCUGGAAAGGAGUCGGGAAGACGCGCCAUCCUGUCGCCCAACCUGGGUUUUUACAAUUCUCAUCCGGCUCAAGUGCAAGGCUGCUAUGGAAUAGCAUCAGAGGGGAACUUCUGGUGGCCUCAGGUUCCGUUCUGUUCCCCUAGGAACAGGAUUUUCUUCGCUGCCGUCUCUCUGGGGUAGUUUCGAUUCACUCCGGAUUCUGAACUCCCCAGCCUAACCUGCUUUUCAGCAGUCACGUUCAUGGCCCUGGGAGGAGAGGCGCCUGGGAACCCACGGCCACUUGGCUGGGGGUUGUGCGUUGGGAAGGUGUAGUCUGUUUUAAGAAUACAAGAAACCUCACCAUAGUCCCUCAGCUCCCUCCAGUCAGGCACCGCGAAGGUGGAAACCUUCCGCCUUCACUUCACUGAGCCACACAAGUAUUUCUAUGAGGGCUGUGAUAUCAAAAAACCGGGGAAGCACUGCUCUAAAUAACCACAGGCCAUCUGCUGCGAUCAUUCAACCUCGCCCAAGAAGUCCUUCCUAAUGGUAAACGGAGGCCCAAAGGGAUGAAGCUUCUUGCUCAAAGUCACGCAGCUACCAGUGGAAGGAGUAUGGGGUAGGAGUUGGAAGACAUUUUGGGGAGCACACGCAAAAAAAUCCUGGCUGGGACAUUUUGGCUGACUUAUCCUCUCUCAGCCUCAGUUUCUGAUGAGUCUCCUUGCCCCAUGAAGUGAAAUCAUACAUGUAAAGCACUUAGCACAGCACCUGUUACAUGUAACCAAUAACGGUUGCUGUUGCUGCUACCGGACAUAGAACUCAGGUUUCCUUACCCUGACCUCUGUCACUAUCUUCAUCACAUCCUCCUGGUGCCUCAGAGGACCCUUCACUAUUAUUUACUGAGAUGAAACCAACAACUUUAAAACAACCAGUAUACACAGGCAUACUGGAUGCUGGAAUGAAAGUAUGGUUUUUCUUUCUC